RNA transcript from Talpa occidentalis (Iberian mole), 1548 nucleotides. RefSeq lists it as uncharacterized. NCBI's taxonomy places the organism in Eukaryota, Metazoa, Chordata, Mammalia, Eulipotyphla, Talpidae. The record is from RefSeq and is a predicted model, not a curated record. The transcript has 6 exons.
AGUCAAAAAGCUGAAAAAACUGUAGCAGUCGCAUAGACGCGCUUCUACACGUGCCCACUCAGAGCUGGGGAGGCGUGGUUAUAGAGAACUAUUUUCGCGCUUGCCCUGUGAAAUUGGUCCUCGAGGCACCGUAAUGCGCCUGCGUCCGUUGUGGGCGGGGUUCAGGGCAACGUCUGGAGCGUCUAGAUGAAGUGCUCUUCGCCCGCGCAAUUGGAGGAAAACGAGCUUUUUGAUGAUUCAGAGCGAAGCUCAGUGGGUUGGACUAUUGAAGACCCAGCCACUCUUAAGGGGCUUCCCACACGGGCCCACGACAUCCUUUUACGUCAACAAAAAUGAUAACUGGAGUGGGACCUUAAACAUCUUGCACCCCGACCGGAGGCGAUAGAAGCAGUUGAUCUUAGCUGGGCAAAUGGGCGAUGAACUAAGGACACAUUUUCCAACCUGUGGAGCUAGAUGUGGUAACUGAAUAGAUGAUUAUGGAAUUCACCUUCUUGUUGUGAUAAUGAUACCUUGAUACCCCAGCCUACCAAGGUUUCCCACCUGUGGGUAGCAAGAUGGAGUGGGAAGAAACGAUUGCAGUUCUUUUUCUCACUUUUCUUCAAUUUCACAUUUACUAAGGCCUAAAGCACUUCACUGCUGUCACAUGAGCCUACUGACCUCCUUUUCUGGAAGAAAAAAAAUGACACUAAAUAUAACUUGGGAACAGACUUAACAAUCCCCCUCAUAUUUCUCAGAUGAGGUGGAAAUUUGUGUUCCUAUACUUUUCUUGGGAUUUAAAGUAAGGGUUUUCAGAAUUUAAGAAUCUCAUGUGUGAUGAAGAAGGCACCAUAUAUACCAAAAGCCUCCAAAGAAAGAAGCAUCUACCAGCCAAGCUCUGAAGAAAAGAAGCCGAAAAGCUUUGCAGAGAAGCCAAAGAGCUUUGCAGACCCCAGGGCACAACUGCCCUCGGGCCCUGCCUUUAACAUUGCCUGAAAAAAGCGGUAAAAGUCCCAGGCAUGGUGUUUCAAAAAGCUAUUUGUUGUUGACAUGGGCCAACAACUCCCAAAGAGCUGUAAUGCUGGUGUUUUGAUACCAACUCUGGUGGCCAGUGAUGCCCAGCACUGCUGUUGGGUGACUGGUGCUCCAGGUCACCUCUGAGAGCUGUUAAUCAUCCAGCACCCCUUCCCUGUGCUGCUGCCUCCAUUGCUGUCUGGCCUAGUGUCCAGUGCUGUCUGUCUGACCUUCAGACUGUUGCCAUGGGCUGCUGUGGGAUAGCUACCAGCCUCACCUGUGAAUACCUCCAGCUGCGGCGAGUUGGAUCUUAGCCCACUGCUUGCUGGCAAGCUUCAAGACCUUGUUGCUGGGAAGGCGCCAUCUUGGAUGAACGGCCUUUUGUUUGGAACUUCGGAAACUGCACACUAUGGGAAUUUGAAAAGGACCAGAUUCUACAAUGGCCCUCAAUCUCCAUCUCCUCACCUCCUGUAUGUGCCCUGUGCCACUCUCUACAGCAGUCUGACACCUGCUUGGGUCUACAGCCUUGUGAUCUAGAGGUUGGCGUCUGACAAUUUU